This 27-nucleotide non-coding RNA is filed under the name Homo sapiens (human). Lineage: Eukaryota; Metazoa; Chordata; Mammalia; Primates; Hominidae. The record is from RNAcentral.
ACGCUGACCUCUCCUGGCUGUGCCUGU